Molecule: long non-coding RNA, 429 nt
Filed under: Setaria viridis
Lineage: Eukaryota; Viridiplantae; Streptophyta; Magnoliopsida; Poales; Poaceae
Description: long non-coding RNA (SVIR_LNC008634)
Source: RNAcentral
AAAGAAUUGAACGAAUUUCCUAAGGUUUUGAAUAGGCAGUAUAACGGCUGGGUUUGGAUGAUAAUUUGGGAUUUUGUAUGGGCGGCACUAUGGCUAGAUGGGGUUACAUAUUAGGGUUUUGGUUGGGCAUUAUAACUGGGAUGAUAUUUGGGGGUUUAACUUGUGCAGCACAAUGGCUAUAAGGAGGAAUAGACCGGAGUUUCGAAUAGAUCCUUUAGGGGUUGGGGUCACUAGGGGAUUAUAGAAUGAUACUUGAGAGCUUGUGCGACAAUUGGUCUGUCCUGGUACUAGGGGAUAGUACACAUGGCGAUAGACGCAGUCAGGCAAGAUUAAGCAGAUGCAUGGCAGCAAUAGGGGUCAACGGCCAUAAUAGGGUAGCGAGGAACAACCAGCUGAGUGUUGUUAACAACGUGGGUAAAGUGGUUAGAG